GAUGAACGCUGGCGGCGUGCCUAAUACAUGCAAGUCGAGCGAACAGACGCGGCUCUUGCUCCUCUGACGUUAGCGGCGGACGGGUGAGUAACACGUGUAUAACCUACCUAUAAUACUGGUAUAACUUCGGGACACCGGCGCUAAUCCCGUAUAAUCUCUUGCACCGCAUUGUUCAAUAGUGAAAGACGGUUUUGCUGUCACUUAUAGAUGGAUCCGCGCCUCAUUAGCUAGUUGGUAAGGUAACGGCUUACCAAGGCGACGAUGCGUAGCCGACCUGAGAGGGUGAUAGGCCACAUGGGAGCGGAGACACGGUCAAGACGACUACGGGAGGCAGCAGUAGGGAAUGGGACGCAAUGGGCGAAAGCCUGACGGAGCAACGCCGCGUGAGUGAUGAAGGUCUUCGGAGCGUAAAACUCUGUUAUGAGGGAAGAACAAAUGUGUAAGGAACUAUGCACGGAGUGACGGUACCGAAUAAGAAAGCCACGGCUAACUACGUG
This 497-nucleotide ribosomal RNA is filed under the name uncultured bacterium. RNAcentral's name for it is "partial 16S ribosomal RNA". It matches the Rfam family "Bacterial small subunit ribosomal RNA", at positions 28 to 507 of the family's 1533-position model. The record is from RNAcentral.